GUUGUAAGGUUAAGAAAUUAAGCGUACACGGUGGAUGCCUAGGCAUUUAGAGGCGAAGAAGGACGUGUUAAUCUGCGAAAAGCGACGGUGAGCCGAUAAAAGGCGUUAUAGCCGUCGAUGUCCGAAUGGGGAAACCCAGUGUGGGUAACUGCACUAUUGCUUGAUGAAUACAUAGUCAAGUGAGGCGAACCGGGAGAACUGAAACAUCUAAGUACCCCGAGGAAAAGAAAUCAACCGAGAUUCCCCGAGUAGCGGCGAGCGAAAGGGGAGGAGCCCAAAGUGGGAAACAUCAUGAGUUAGUGGAAGCGUCUGGAAAGUCGCACGAUAGAGGGUGAAAGUCCCGUACACGAAGGCACAUGGUGUGGAAGCUUGAAGAGUAGGGCGGGACACGUGAUAUCCUGUCUGAAUAUGGGGGGACCAUCCUCCAAGGCUAAAUACUCCUAAAUGACCGAUAGUGAACCAGUACCGUGAGGGAAAGGCGAAAAGAACCCCGGGAGGGGAGUGAAAUAGACCCUGAAACCGUGUACGUACAAUCAGUGGGAGCGUAUAUCAUUGGAUAUAUGUGACUGCGUACCUUUUGUAUAAUGGGUCAGCGACUUAUAUUCUGUAGCAAGGUUAACCGAAUAGGGGAGCCGAAGGGAAACCGAGUAUUAACUGUGCGAAAAGUUGCAGGGUAUAGACCCGAAACCCGGUGAUCUAGCCAUGGGCAGGUUGAAGGUUGGUUAACACUAACUGGAGGACCGAACCGACUAAUGUUGAAAAAUUAGCGGAUGACCUGUGGCUGGGGGUGAAAGGCCAAUCAAACCGGGAGAUAGCUGGUUCUCCCCGAAAGCUAUUUAGGUAGCGCCUCAUGAGUGACUGUUGGGGGUAGAGCACUGUUUCGGCUAGGGGGCCAUCCCGGCUUACCAACCCGAUGCAAACUCCGA
Molecule: ribosomal RNA, 926 nt
Filed under: Gilliamella apicola
Lineage: Bacteria; Pseudomonadati; Pseudomonadota; Gammaproteobacteria; Orbales; Orbaceae
Also listed under: 1 other name
Description: bacterial LSU rRNA
Rfam family: Bacterial large subunit ribosomal RNA
Source: RNAcentral